ACUCCUACGGGAGGCAGCAGUGAGGAAUAUUGCGCAAUGGGCGAAAGCCUGACGCAGCGACACCGCGUGAAGGAUGAAGGCUUUCGAGUCGUAAACUUCUGUUAAGUGGGAAGAAAAGCUCAUUUCUAAUAAAAUGAGUAAUGACGGUACCAUUAGAGAAAGCACCGGCUAAACUCGUGCCAGCAGCCGCGGUAAUACGAGUGGUGCAAGCGUUAUUCGGAAUCAUUGGGCGUAAAGGGUGCGUAGGCGGCAUGCUAAGUCAACUGUUAAAUCUUCCGGCCUAACUGGAAGCUUGCAGUAGAUACUGGUGUGCUAGAGGUUGGAAGAGAGAAGUGGAAUUCUCGGAGUAGCGGUAAAAUGCGUAGAUCUCGAGAGGAACACCGAUGGCGAAGGCAGCUUCUUGGUCCAAAUCUGACGCUGAGGCACGAAAGCGUGGGGAGCAAACAGGAUUAGAUACCCUGGUAGGCUCUGCU
RNAcentral lists this ribosomal RNA (473 nucleotides) under uncultured bacterium. Its description in RNAcentral is "bacterial SSU rRNA". It matches the Rfam family "Bacterial small subunit ribosomal RNA", at positions 335 to 801 of the family's 1533-position model. The record is from RNAcentral.